GACGAACGCUGGCGGCGUGCUUAACACAUGCAAGUCGAACGGAAAGGCCCCUUUGGGGGUCCUCGAGUGGCGAACGGGUGAGUAACACGUGAGUAACCUUCCCUUUCCUUCGGGAUAACUUCAGGAAACUGGGGCUAAUACCGGAUAGGAAUCCUUGCUGCAUGGUGGGGGUUGGAAAGCUUCGGCGGUUUUGGAUGGACUCGCGGCUUAUCAGCUUGUUGGUGGGGUAGUGGCUUACCAAGGCUUUGACGGGUAGCCGGCCUGCGAGGGCGACCGGCCACAUUGGGACUGAGAGACGGCCCAGACGCCUACGGGAGGCAGCAGGGGGGAAGAGUGCACAAUGGGCGGAAGCCUGAUGCAGAAACGCCGCGUGCGGGAUGACGGCCUUCGGGUUGUAAACCGCUUUCAGCAGGGGCGAAGCUUGUGGUGACGGUACCUGCAGAAGAAGCACCGGCUAACUACGUG
This 465-nucleotide ribosomal RNA is filed under the name uncultured bacterium. RNAcentral describes it as "partial 16S ribosomal RNA". It matches the Rfam family "Bacterial small subunit ribosomal RNA", at positions 28 to 507 of the family's 1533-position model. The record is from RNAcentral.